This is a long non-coding RNA of Caretta caretta (loggerhead turtle), 477 nucleotides long. RefSeq lists it as uncharacterized. The record is from RefSeq and is a predicted model, not a curated record. Lineage: Eukaryota; Metazoa; Chordata; Testudines; Cheloniidae.
AUGGGCUCCAUUUUUGUGAGGAGCUGAGAUCCUGGUCAGGGGACUGGAGAUUGCUUUGUGGAGCUCUCUCCAAGCCAGAAGGUGCUACUGAGAAACUGCUGGGACUUGACCAAGCAGGGAAUCAAGAAGGCUGUUGUUGCGGGCUUCACUGGAACCAGGGCUGAGACUGUUGUGGUGACUGGAACUGACUGAGAAAUGAUCCCAACUUAGAAUUGCUCUGCCCCUUAUUGCCUUGGCUCAGGCUGGACUACUUUACUGGACCAACAGAGUGAUGUCCUGGUUUCAGGAUCUUCAAGUGUGCCCAGGCAAGCAUCUAGACCUCUGAAAUAUGAGGAGUGCAUACUCAGAGGCAUAUCUUGAACAUUCCUACAUCCUGAUUUGUGAACCAAACACAGGCUGGAGAAAGAAUAAUACUUGCCUUUGCAAUCUGUGAAGGAAGUGGUUUGGCUGAAGAAGAAAGGAAAGUCGCUUAUGUGG